Molecule: long non-coding RNA, 1469 nt
Organism: Notolabrus celidotus (New Zealand spotty)
Lineage: Eukaryota; Metazoa; Chordata; Actinopteri; Labriformes; Labridae
Exons: 2
Source: RefSeq, a predicted model, not a curated record
AGCAAAACCGGAGGUAGAACUAUUUUUAACUGGCAUCAAUAAGGACAGAGUGAAUCUACCUGUCAGACAACAGCCCAUCUCUGGAAAUAACCAUCACCUGCUAAACCGGGAUGCCUGUUUUCAUAGUGACAUCGCGCUGUGCCUCUCGUGUUAAGUGAUUUCUGCUGGCUGUGUGCGCCAUGGAGCUGACUGACAGCUUCAAUUCAACAGGUUAUUCGAUCACCGCAGUCUACAGCAGAGCCCGUCUGGCUCUCCAUUCACCAGACAGACGCUCCUUGUCUGCCUUUGCCGCAGACAUGCGCCUCCAGCAGCUCUGAAGCGUCUCUAUUCUAUUUCUGUCGAAUAAUAUUGACUGGUUACACUAAAGCAGCGACAGAAUGCACGGCACAGCACAGCACAGCAGAGCAGCCCGCCCGAGUUGCUAUUCUGGGAAGUUGGUCUGACGGAAACCGAUCACAGAGUGUGGACCCGGUCUGCCUCGUCUCUGCUCGGCGAUCGAUUAGGUUACAAGGGGGCCUCUUAUUCCCAAAGCUGCAGACAGGCUGAAUCCCCGUGGAGACAAGAGCAUGACUGUCAGAAAGUGUCUAUAGGGAAUACAGUGGAGGCUACUCAAGGACAAAUACAGUGAAUAUUCCUUUUUUGUACAUAUGCUGAAGCUAACACGUGAUUAGAUGUAUUUCGCAGAAAUGAGACACAUCUGUAACAGUAAUUAUGACGAACUUUAUGCAAAUGUUAUCAUCUCGUCAUAUCAGAAUGUGAACAACAUAGACGUUUAUGAAAACAGUUUCUUUUUUUUUUUAAUUCAAGGAUUAUAAACGAUAUGUGUAAUGAGAAAUACAAUAGUAAACAAUAGUGGACAAUUUAUGUUGUGACAGCAAAGUUUGAAAACUAUUUCUUGUUGCUUAGACACAGAUACAUUUGCAAAAAGUUAAAAUUAGCAGUUAUCAUGGGCCCCUCUGAUAGAUGUGUUGGACUAGAAUAAAGAUUAUGAUGCUCAUCAUAGUAUAAUCGAAGAUAGUGUUAAAAGAAGCUGCAGGUGUUAUUGUAGUGGUCAUAAAAGAUGACUCCAAGGCACUGGUGUAAUGCUAGCACAAGGUAAACAGGAUAGUUCACCUAUAAAAGCUGAGUUAAGAAACAGAAAAUGAGCAACUGAUGUAAAACUGUGCGAAUAAACAUGAUUAUGUCAGCAAUUCUGAAUAGCUUUUUAUAAUUUAAGACGUCAAGUAAGUUUUGGCAGAUAACAGUGCGAGCGGUUUGAGUGUGGAUCUGUGAAUAAUUCAUGUAAACCACUGGUUCUUACACUGCAUGUCCAAUUGAGCGAAGAGGCUCAACUAGAUUUGAUUGUGACUUAGAGGAAUCAGAAGCCUCAUGUGGCUUAAAGACAGUACGCCUGAAGCACAAGUUGAAGCAUAGGUGCACAUACUGGGCCAAUAAACUUGUCUGGAUUCUAAUAAACACUACUCUCUGAA